RNAcentral lists this ribosomal RNA (373 nucleotides) under uncultured bacterium. RNAcentral's name for it is "bacterial SSU rRNA". It matches the Rfam family "Bacterial small subunit ribosomal RNA", at positions 521 to 896 of the family's 1533-position model. The record is from RNAcentral.
UAAUACGGAGGGUGCAAGCGUUAUCCGGAUUCACUGGGUUUAAAGGGUGCGUAGGUGGGUUGGUAAGUCAGUGGUGAAAUCCCCGAGCUUAACUUGGGAACUGCCAUUGAUACUAUCAGUCUUGAAUACCGUGGAGGUCAGCGGAAUAUGUCAUGUAGCGGUGAAAUGCUUAGAUAUGACAUAGAACACCAAUUGCGAAGGCAGCUGGCUACUCGGAUAUUGACACUGAGGCACGAAAGCGUGGGGAUCAAACAGGAUUAGAUACCCUGGUAGUCCACGCCCUAAACUAUGGAUACUCGACAUUUGCGAUACACAGCAAGUGUCUGAGCGAAAGCAUUAAGUAUCCCACCUGGGAAGUACGAUCGCAAGAUUG